AGAACCCUUCCAGGUCCUGACAUCCCUUGAAAGUUUUUUAGAGAUAAAAGUGUUUUUUUCGGAGACAAAGUGACCGGUGGGGCAUGGUGUUGUCCAGCUCGUGUCGUGAGAUGUUGGGUUAAGUCCCGCAACGAGCGCAACCCUUAUUGUUAGUUGCCAGCAUUCAGUUGGGCACUCUGCGAGACUGCCGGUGACAAACCGGAGGAAGGCGGGGACGACGUCAAAUCAUCAUGCCCCUUAUGACCUGGGCUACACACGUGCUACAAUGGGAUACAACGAGUUGCCAACCUGCGAAGGUGAGCUAAUCUCUUAAAGUACGUCUCAGUUCGGACUGCAGUCUGCAACUCGACUGCACGAAGUCGGAAUCGCUAGUAAUCGCGGAUCAGCACGCCGCGGUGAAUACGUUCCCGGGUCUUGUACACACCGCCU
This 429-nucleotide ribosomal RNA is filed under the name uncultured bacterium. RNAcentral describes it as "bacterial SSU rRNA". It matches the Rfam family "Bacterial small subunit ribosomal RNA", at positions 965 to 1395 of the family's 1533-position model. The record is from RNAcentral.